GAAUGCUGACAUAAGUAACGAUAAAGCGGGUGAAAAGCCCGCUCGCCGGAAGACCAAGGGUUCCUGUCCAACGUUAAUCGGGGCAGGGUGAGUCGACCCCUAAGGCGAGGCCGAAAGGCGUAGUCGAUGGGAAACGGGUUAAUAUUCCCGUACUUGGUGUUACUGCGAAGGGGGGACGGAGAAGGCUAUGUUGGCCGGGCGACGGUUGUCCCGGUUUAAGCGUGUAGGUGUGUGUUCCAGGUAAAUCCGGUUCACUUUAACACUGAGGCGUGACGACGAGGCACUACGGUGCUGAAGCAACAAAUGCCCUGCUUCCAGGAAAAGCCUCUAAGCAUCAGGUAACAUCAAAUCGUACCCCAAACCGACACAGGUGGUCAGGUAGAGAAUACCAAGGCGCUUGAGAGAACUCGGGUGAAGGAACUAGGCAAAAUGGUGCCGUAACUUCGGGAGAAGGCACGCUGACACGUAGGUGAAGUGAUUUACUCAUGGAGCUGAAGUCAGUCGAAGAUACCAGCUGGCUGCAACUGUUUAUUAAAAACACAGCACUGUGCAAACACGAAAGUGGACGUAUACGGUGUGACGCCUGCCCGGUGCCGGAAGGUUAAUUGAUGGGGUCAGCGCAAGCGAAGCUCCUGAUCGAAGCCCCGGUAAACGGCGGCCGUAACUAUAACGGUCCUAAGGUAGCGAAAUUCCUUGUCGGGUAAGUUCCGACCUGCACGAAUGGCGUAAUGAUGGCCAGGCUGUCUCCACCCGAGACUCAGUGAAAUUGAACUCGCUGUGAAGAUGCAGUGUACCCGCGGCAAGACGGAAAGACCCCGUGAACCUUUACUAUAGCUUGACACUGAACAUUGAGCCUUGAUGUGUAGGAUAGGUGGGAGGCUUUGAAGUGUGGACGCCAGUCUGCAUGGAGCCGACCUUGAAAUACCACCCUUUAAUGUUUGAUGUUCUAACGUGGACCCGUUACCCGGGUUGCGGACAGUGUCUGGUGGGUAGUUUGACUGGGGCGGUCUCCUCCUAAAGAGUAACGGAGGAGCACGAAGGUUGGCUAAUCCUGGUCGGACAUCAGGAGGUUAGUGCAAUGGCAUAAGCCAGCUUGACUGCGAGCGUGACGGCGCGAGCAGGUGCGAAAGCAGGUCAUAGUGAUCCGGUGGUUCUGAAUGGAAGGGCCAUCGCUCAACGGAUAAAAGGUACUCCGGGGAUAACAGGCUGAUACCGCCCAAGAGUUCAUAUCGACGGCGGUGUUUGGCACCUCGAUGUCGGCUCAUCACAUCCUGGGGCUGAAGUAGGUCCCAAGGGUAUGGCUGUUCGCCAUUUAAAGUGGUACGCGAGCUGGGUUUAGAACGUCGUGAGACAGUUCGGUCCCUAUCUGCCGUGGGCGCUGGAGAACUGAGGGGGGCUGCUCCUAGUACGAGAGGACCGGAGUGGACGCAUCACUGGUGUUCGGGUUGUCAUGCCAAUGGCACUGCCCGGUAGCUAAAUGCGGAAGAGAUAAGUGCUGAAAGCAUCUAAGCACGAAACUUGCCCCGAGAUGAGUUCUCCCUGAGACU
RNAcentral lists this ribosomal RNA (1547 nucleotides) under Salmonella enterica. RNAcentral describes it as "partial 23S ribosomal RNA". It matches the Rfam family "Bacterial large subunit ribosomal RNA", at positions 1292 to 2822 of the family's 2925-position model. The record is from RNAcentral. RNAcentral also lists the same sequence under 1 other name. Lineage: Bacteria; Pseudomonadati; Pseudomonadota; Gammaproteobacteria; Enterobacterales; Enterobacteriaceae.